RNAcentral lists this non-coding RNA (818 nucleotides) under Pycanum ochraceum. Lineage: Eukaryota; Metazoa; Arthropoda; Insecta; Hemiptera; Tessaratomidae. The record is from RNAcentral.
UAUUUUAUUUGUUAAAUCAAUUAAUUUAAUUAUAGAAUUCAAUUCUAGUUCUACAAUUUAACUUUUAUUGAUGGUGAUUUAAUCAUGUUAGCUAUUGCUUGGUUGUUUUAUCUUAAUGGUGAAUUAAGUUUAUAUCUAUUAGCAGUUAUUUAUAUUGUACUAUUUUUAUAAAAGAUACAGUCACUUAUAUUUUAACUAGCAAAAAUUGUGCCAGCGGCUGCGGUUAUACAAUUAGUUAGGUUAAUUUAUUCAGUAUUUUAUUUUAAUUAUUUAUUGAUUGAUGAUUUUAUUUAUUUAUAAGGUGAAAUUUUUAAUUUUUAUAUAUAUUUGGUUGAUUAAUUAUAAGAAAUUUUUAAUUUAGACUAGGAUUAGAUACCCUAUUAUUUUAAAUGUAAACUUUACUUGGUAUUAUAAGUUUUGAUCUUUAAAUCAAAAGAAUUUGACGGUGAUUUAAUCAUUUCAGAGGAGCCUGUCCUUUAAUUGAUAAUCCACGAUAAAUUUUACCUUAAAUUUUUAUUUGUAUAUCUCUGUUUAUUGAGUGUUCUAUUAGGAAUGAUUCUCUUUAUUUAUUAUGAUAAUUUAUAUCAGGUCAAGGUGCAGUUAUAUUAAGGAUUGAGAUGGGCUACAUUGAAUUAUUAUUCAUGGAUUAAUUUAUAUUGUAUUAUUUUUAUGAAAUUGGAUUUGAUUGUAAUUGUGAUUAUAUUUUUAUAAUGAUAUAUGUUCUUGAUUAAGUACACAUCGCCCGUCGCUCUCAUUAUUCUUAAAGUGAGAUAAGUCGUAACAAAGUAGGCUUAUCGGAAGAUGAGCCUGGAUUUAUA